RNAcentral lists this ribosomal RNA (253 nucleotides) under uncultured bacterium. RNAcentral describes it as "partial 16S ribosomal RNA". It matches the Rfam family "Bacterial small subunit ribosomal RNA", at positions 524 to 776 of the family's 1533-position model. The record is from RNAcentral.
UACAGAGGUCUCAAGCGUUGUUCGGAUUCAUUGGGCGUAAAGGGCGCGUAGGCGGCGUGACAAGUCACUUGUGAAAUCUCCGGGCUUAACCCGGAGCGGCCAAGUGAUACUGUCGUGCUAGAGUGCGGAAGGGGCUACUGGAAUUCUCGGUGUAGCGGUGAAAUGCGUAGAUAUCGAGAGGAACACCUGCGGCGAAGGCGGGUAGCUGGGCCGACGCUGACGCUGAUGCGCGAAAGCUAGGGGAGCGAACGGG